RNAcentral lists this transfer-messenger RNA (360 nucleotides) under Pseudomonas nitroreducens. It matches the Rfam family "transfer-messenger RNA". Rfam says of the family: Bacterial tmRNA, also known as 10Sa RNA or SsrA, is named for its dual tRNA and mRNA-like properties. Its role is to liberate the mRNA from a stalled ribosome. To accomplish this part of the tmRNA is used as a reading frame that ends in a translation stop signal. The record is from RNAcentral. Lineage: Bacteria; Pseudomonadati; Pseudomonadota; Gammaproteobacteria; Pseudomonadales; Pseudomonadaceae. RNAcentral also lists the same sequence under 1 other name.
GGGGCUGAUUUGGAUUCGACCUCGAAAAGAAGUUUGAAGACGCAUGCCGAGCACGCGGUUCAUCUCGUCAAAAAUGACCGCAAAAGAUUAGUCGCCAACGACGAAGUCUACUCCGUAGCAGCCUAAGGGCUGCUUCCGCUGGCUCCUGAGUUCCUCAUCUCUCGGGUUUAGUCAGCGUCAUACGAAUGAGGGUAGGUGAUCCCCGCUGACUGGCGCAGGGUGAUCCGAAACUUAGCCAGCACACCCUACGAGAGCCUGUCGAGCGGCGCGAAGAAGGGUCACCCAGUAGAUCGACUAAGCAUGUAGUGUUAACUGACGGGCGUUUGAGACACGAGGGUUCGACCCCCUCCAGCUCCACCA